UAGAAGUCAGGUCGGAUUAAGCCAUAGUACGGAAAAAACUAUGCUACCUGUGAGCCCCGUCCAAGGACGUUAAAAGAAGUCAGGCCAUCAUAAAUGCCAUAGCUKGAGUAAACUAUGCUGCCUGUAGCUCCACCUGAGAAGGUGUAAAAAAUCUGGGAGGCCACAAACCAUGGAAGCUGUACGCAUGG
Molecule: long non-coding RNA, 188 nt
Filed under: dengue virus type 2
Lineage: Riboviria; Orthornavirae; Kitrinoviricota; Flasuviricetes; Amarillovirales; Flaviviridae
Description: Dengue virus 2 partial sfRNA1
Source: RNAcentral